AUUUGUAGAUUGCGCGUUGGCAGUGCCAUAGUUGGGCUGUACUACUGCUCUCUUUUCGUCUGCGAGCAAGACGAUGAGCGUAGACGAUCGACGUAUUGGGGACGAGAUGGACUCCAAGCCGUUAGGCGGACCUUCAGGGGCUUGCGAAGACUUCAGCUCCUGCUCGGUGAGCGAAGUGCUGUGGCACAGCCAUUGGAAGGCGCGAAAGAAUGGCUACGAGAGAGUGCAGAAGGAUCCCAUUAAGUACAAGAAGCUUCUUUUCGACAGCCUCAAGUACAUUGCUAACGAAGGCAAUGCGACGGUCCAGGAGGCUGCAAUCGAGGCGCUUGUUAUUGUUCUCUCCGAGUGCAAUGACUCGGAGCGCAGUCAGCUCGCUGAAGGAACACUUCCCAUCGUUGUGGAGAAAGGUAUCACUGGACGGCCGAAAGCUGUGCAGUUGAGCCAGCAGUUCAUUUUUGCGCUUGUAGAGGCGGGUAGCGGAGCGGCUGUGUUUGCUGCCCUCCUCCCUGCAUUAGCGCAUAAGGCACCAAAGAAUAGGCUAGCUGCAGCGCAAACAGCGGCGUCACUGGUCUCAGACUACGGGGUGCAACACUUUCCCCUCAAAGAAAUUCUGAAGGCUAUGCAGCCGCUGUUCAACGAUGCGAACGCUCAAGUCCGGAAAGAGGCAAUCGCGCUGUGCUGCCAGUGCUAUCGGUACAUCGGCGCUAACAUCAGGGGCUUUCUCACGGACCUGAGAGAGGUUCAGCUACAAGAGCUUCAGAAGCAGUUCGAGAGCCUUAAGGUGGGCGAGAGACCCCCAAAGAUGAUCAAGGGCGCUGAACGAUCGAGCAGCGACGGCAAGGGCGGUAAGAACUCUCUUGCAGCGGCCAAGCCGAUAGGAUCUCUCACUGGUGAGGAUACCGCUGCUGUUGACGAUGCCGGCUUUGAGCUUCUAGAGGAGUCUCUGAUUAUACCACGUCUCCCGAAAAAGUUUUUCCGCGUCGCACUAGACAAGGAGACAACGUGGCAGGACCGCGUCGAGUACGUGAACGUGCACCUUGUGCCUCUCCUAGCUGCGCCUCGAUUCCGUGCAAAGGACAACUACCAUGAGCUUGCAAGCAUGAUGAAGGAAUACCUAGUUGACCCACAGGCGCCACUGAUGCUGCUUGGCUUCAAAAUGGUGCAGGAUUGUGCCCGCGGGCUGCGCAACGACUUUUCCCCUCACGCCAGGCUUUUUGUUGCACCAUUGCUAGGCAAAAUGAAGGACAAGAAGGUGAGCGUGCAGCUUCAUGUGAUGAAGACGUUAGAGGACUUGAUCUGCUUCAACUGCAUCUCGAUGGAUCAGUGCAACGACGAUUUUGAGCAGGCGCUGCAGAGCAAGAACCCAACGCAGCGCACGGUCCUGCUGAACUAUCUCAUCCGUAUGGUGGACACCCUCGGCGAUCGCAGCCGCUACGUCAAGCUGGGGCGCUCAAUAGCGAUGCUGACGCGCGCCGUCAACGACGAGAAGGCGUCGAUUCGCGAUGUCGCGUACGUGCUGCUUGACAGACUUAUCCGAGCCUUUGGUGAAGCUCAGUACAAGAGUGUCCUGGAACACUUAGAUGACAACCAGCGCCAUAACAUGGCCGCCGCGGUCGCUCGCGGUGCGCCGACUGUGGGACCGCGCUCUGUCGCCUCGCGGCAGGCCUCGGACCUCUCUAUCUCACAGAGCGGCGGCACCACCGGCACGACCCCAUUCAACUCACCUGCCAAAAAGAUACCUCGUGUUGAGGACUCGUCCGCGGCGACGGCAGCGCUGGCGCGACCGCCCCAAGCGCGCACCAUAUCCGCACCCUGCGCAACGGUUGUCGCACGGCGUCUCUCUGCUUUUUCCAGGGAGGACGGUGCUGACGCCGACGCAGAGCCGCGCGGGACGCUAGCCCUGGAGCCACCUCGAACCUCGUCGCUGCUGCGCAAGUCUGCGCCCUCGCAUGCGUCCGGCACGGAGCGGCCGUCUGUUGCGAGGAGUUGUGUUGCUGCCACGCGCGGCAGCGGUGCUGAGCAGAGCAGCACCAGAACUAACGCGGACGACUCCAUUGCACUGGAGUCGUUGCUCCCGUCGAAGAUGGAGUCUCUGAUGAUGAUAUUGGGGAUGCUGAACGGUGAUAACACGGUGCUUGAUAUGGUGCGCUCGCGCGAGUGGGCGCGGCGGCAGGAGGGCAUGAACAAGCUCUUUGUAAUGGUGCAGCAGUGGACACCGGCGCAGACUACACGUGCCAUGGACUACUUAGUGGUGUAUAUCCGAGCACACCCCUCCUUCCGCGAGCCGACUUUUCAAGUUUUCACCCUAAUCACGCAGGUCUUCCAGGUGGCUCUGGCGAAGGCCGUGACGUUGACCAUGGCAGCUGGCUACGCCAUUGUGUCUGGCUUCACAUCACGUUUUGCAGAGCCCAAGAACAAGCCUUUGGUGCGCGAGGUGUGCGGCCUUAUUGCCCAAAAACUUGGCCAGCGCUUUGUGGUGCGCCACAUAUUGGACACGGCAGCUAUGAUCAAGACACCAAAGCUGCUGCAGGAGGUGUGCGAGUAUGUACGGGAGGCGGUGCAGCAUCAACCAGACAGUGAGGAGGCCGAGCGAGAUGCAGUGGAUGCCCGAGGGGCGCUACAUUUUGUCAAGACGGUGUGCUCCGACUUCAACAACGCCGGCGUGCGACAGGAGGCGGCGUUGCUCCUUGUGGCUCUGCGUCGUUCACCGCAGGCGUCGGCCGCAGCAGUGGAGAGGUGCGUGGCGUCAUUGCAGCCGCCGCUGCCCGCCCUGUACGAGCGAGAGCUGAACCGUUCGGAGGGCGUAUCCACAUUUGCUGGGCCGCUAGCCCCCACAAGAGCCUCAGUGGCACUCCCCGCUGGUGCACCGGCCCCUGGUGCAGCCGCGCCGACGCCGCUGUCUCCUACCCAGAAGCGAGCGCGCACGGUGAGCCAGUCAUCCGGGCCCGGGACGCGCGCUAGUGUCCUGGCACCGUCGUCACCGAACCGCCCAUCAGUGCACCGUCGCUCGCUGAGUGACGCUGAGGCAUCUCCAGACUUUCACCAUCGCACGUCCUCUCCCGGCGGCACAGGGGUGGCAACGCGCCUUACCAGUGGGCAUGCCAGCUCCUUGAGACCAUUGCCACGCAAUAGCUGCUCUGCCAGCGCGGCGCCGCCAGGAGGUCUCCGGUCCAUCCUGCACGAGAUCACCUCCGGCGAGGACUGGCGUGAUCGACUGAAUGGUGUCCGGCGCGCUGAGGCUUUUGUGGCAGAAGCACCACGACCGCUUCCAGGCCACUGCGCCGUGGCGCUGCUCAAGGCUCUACAAGGUCGCUUCGAAGAGGCCAACAAGAACAUCAUCGUGGAUGUGCUGCGCUUCAUUCCCGUAGUGGUCAAUGCCGCCGGGCCAGAGGAGUGUCGUGCCGCGCUGCGGCAGCUGACCCCCGGCGUGCUGGCAAUGCUAGGAGACCAGAAGGCCGCCUUGCGUGAAGAGGCGCGCAACGUGGCGUUCUUCGCCAUGAACGUUGUGGGUCUCGAAUCUCUCCUGCCACUACUACAGCGGCCGUUGUCAUCGGACUCAAACGUGUGUCGGCAGAACGUUCUGGAGAUGAUGGUCAGUGGAUUUGAGCAGCUCCCGGCGGACGCAGCACUGCCGCGCGUCGGAAUGCAGCUGCUCACGCCGGCUGUGAUAGCCUCCAUUAUGGACCGCCUGCUUGACGUCCGUCUGGUCGCGGAGCAGGUGCUGGGCUGGAUGUUAGGCGUUGUCGGUGAAGACAUAGUCAUGCAUAGCGUGCAGCAGCUCAAGCCAGCGGAACAGCAGGCAGUGAUGCCGGCAGUGGAGCGUCAGAUUGAGCACCGGCGGCGCCAAGCACAAGAGGGGCGGCCGGAGGGGCAGCAGGAUCAGCUGCCGUCAACCGCGAAGGCUGGUCAACCCUUCUUGACAGUCGCAAACGGCCUUCUCGACAACGAAGAGAGUCGCCGCACGACACCGCGACGGGCUACGCCGCGGGCAAGCAGCCCCGCCACCCCACGCGUGGCCAACGGCGGCUUCACGACACCGCGCCGCCUGUCGGCUGCGCAUAUCCCAUACGAUACGCGUUCAGCUAUCAACACGCAACAGAACGGUAACCGUGCCAGCACACCGACACUAGAACUUGCGCCGAAAACCCGACCAGCGCACAAGGAGGCUGUGGGCGUCACGGCGGCGCCGUCGGCACCCUCGACCGCUGCGUCUGAAAGCGGAGAAGCGACGCCAGCGCCGGCAUCCUCCAAUGGGCCGGCCGCAAGAGCCUCGGCGCACCCGAGUCGUCCGUCUGCCGCGUCGAAGGCGGCCGUGCCCGCAAAGACGUCGCCGCCGUCAAACGCGUCGCGCACCCCGACCACGUCCACCGACAUCUCGCCCCUCGCCGACGGCAACGAGGAACUGUACACAAUACGUGAGAUCCUUGUCGGGCUGCGGUCGGCCACCUCCGACGUUGCACUGGCGAUGUGCAAAGACUUUUGCCGCCACCUGCGCGCCGGCGUCGACUGCGGCACUCCUGAGGUGGUCCAGGUGAUGGUGGAGCGCUUGUACGAGAACACGCAGAACUUUGACAGUGGCUUGGCUCAAGCGUUGACCGAGUGUCUGGCCGCAAUGUUCAUGACCCCGCGCUGCGCGAUGCGCUGUCAUAGUCAACUGCUGUUUCGCAUGAUGGGUGCCUUCUUUGACUGCCUGCUGUCGGAGAAGUUCUCGCUGCACGAGCCGGUCAUCAAAGCCUUGAACGUUGCGACACUGAAACUGCUGGAGGGCUGCCCGGCUAACGACGUGUUCACCGCGCUGCUGUCCCGACUGACCACCUACUCCACCAUCUACCUUUCCACUGCUCAGAAGGCCGAUCUGAAGUUCCUUCAGGUGACAGUGAAAUGCGUGAUGAGAGUAGACUUGACCAAGGUGAGCGCUGACACCAUCAUUCUAUGCUGCCACGAGUACUUGCUGCAGCACCCCCCAAGUGCGUUUCGAAACUUGGACGACUUGCCGAUUCGGACGGUGAAGACAGUCUUACAGACAACGACGAAACGGCUCGGGGCAUCGCUCCUGACCACAGCCGAGACGCUUGUAGGGCCGCAGAAUCUCGUCACGCACUUUAUUCGCGCCUGCCUCGAGUUGCGCAACAAGACCGCCAAGGAAAGGGGGCAGAAUGAGCAGCAGGCGAUCGAGGAGAGCCGACACGAGCAGCGGGCGAGCCAGUCGCCGACCCCUCUUCCCGCAAAAGAAAAGACCUGCUCCCCGCUAACGCCACCGAACAAUACCAUGGCUUCCACUAGUGUUACUAGUACUGCCGCCACCGCCGCCAGAACUGCUACUCCUGGCACAACCGCGACCGCUGCCACUGCCUCGGUCACCCCUAGCAAGGGCACUGUCACGCCUUCGCGGAGAAAGAAGCGCGUGAGUCACCACGCUGAUCCCAACGCAACUCCGGCAUCCUCCCUCAACGCGACGACGGUGGCCUCCCCUGGCGCCUCGUGUGAAGGUUCAUUUUCGCCGUCCGCGCCGGCGUGUUCGGUGCGCGCCCCCUUGAAAGCUCAUUCAAGGCUACAGGCUGGCGCUGCCGCCGGUCAGAGUGCGCCAGAGAGCUCUACAGCAAACUCGUCCAUAGUAGUCACUCCGUCGAAGGUGACACCGCAGGGUGUGCUAAACGGGCCCGCAUCUUCCAGUCAAGCGAAUGCGCCGACAGCGUCUCCGAGAGACAUCAAGAGGGACCUGACGGAGAUCUUUGCCCACAUCCGCAACCACGUCACUUCGAGCAGCGGAAUCGAUGAGCUCUACUCAUUCCUGAAGGAUUUACCACCGAGCAGUUAUGAGGAAGCGUUUCGCGUGCAUUUCAAUCGCUGUUCGGAAGCGUUCCGGCUGUACAUCAAGCGAAAGCUCGAGCGCAAGGUUGAGGAGGACCCCACCAAGCCUGUGAGCUUCAAACUGCCGGCGGUAAUCCAGCAUCUGUCUUAGCUCCUUUCAUCGUUGUUCUCUUUAGCAUCCUCGCCCUUCCUACUGCUUUUAGAGUGGCACAAGCUUUCGUGCCGGCUGCAGCACUCCGUGGUAGGUGCAGUGCGGCCGUGCACUAUGCUACAUGUUCCUCCUCGGUUCUUGCGCGCAUGCGUGCCUCUGUUCCUUACGUCCCCCUGCGUGCGCCACUCUGGCCUCGCUGUCACCACAUCUUUUUGUCCUCCCACAAAAUCGGUGCACUCUGCAUCCGCUCUUUUCUUUUUCUUUUCCUCUUCACUGGCCCGAUGACGCGGCGCACACCUCGGCGCAUCGUAUCCUCAGGGUCUAGUGCACCCCGACUCUGUGUGGGGAGGAAGCCAGGCGAGCCCCCUUAUCUCUGCCGAUGCCGAGCUACCUCUGGUGGUAACAUGGUCAAGUACUUAUGGCGUAGGGCGUGGUGAGAGUGGUGUAGCGCUGCUGAUAUUGGAGGUCAGGUCCUGGCUGACGUUGCGUCGGAGCGGCCUGCGGCAGCGAGCACGUUUGCACCACCCACAUGAUGGGCAGGGUGUCAGCGUGGCUUGAGCGUACCUCACCCGGCCCUCGCACUGCCCACUGAUGUGGGGAGCCUGCGCCACGGCGAGGGGGAUGCACCAGGGGUGGCGACCGGCAUGAUGUGAGCGGCUGUGAGGCGGCCUGUGGAGCGAGAGACGGCUAGAGCUUGAUGCAGAGGCCGUGUGCAGAUGACUGACUCGGCGCAUAGCUCUAAAGCAUGUGUCUAAGGCUGCUUCGCACGGUGCGACGGGCCUGUGGCAGGGCCGGGAGCCGAGUGGAGUGUGGCUCAUGCUCUGUGGUGGAGAAUGGACAGGCUGAAAAAGAAAAAAGGAUAUAUACGUGGAGGCAAAGAAAGGAAUCUUUAAGUGGCUGCUGUCUGUAUGGGGUCUAGAAUGCAUCGUUCUGCGCACACGCACACGCACACGCACACACAUAUCUAUACAUAUAUAUAUAUAUGUAUACAUCUCUAUAUAUUGUUCUCUCUUCAUUUGUGUUGCAUGUUUGUCUCUCUCUUUGCGUCGCUUAUUGUGUUUGCUCUGCCUCUUCUUCCCACCAUAACGCAACGAAGGAUUCAUCGCGUCGCACCUCUCCUUUGUUGGUCUCGAUUUCUUCUUCCGACGGUAGGCUGCCCUGCGUCGUUUUUUUUUUGUGCGCCGGAUGCCGCGCUGAGCCUACAGCGAAAAGCCCCCUACUUUUUCUCCUCUUCCACUCUGCGCCUUCCGUUCACAUUGAGAGACACACUGGGCGCCCUUUCACAGCCAUGCGUCAGUGUGUUUCACGCCGGCCGAUGCAUACCCCCUCUUCUCCCUUUUUGUUUUCUUUUAUGUUACUCUCUUCGCUUUCUUUUUGUUUGGCGUGGUGAGGUGGGCGAGGAGGAGCGCAGAAGAGGGGUGGGGGAGGGGUUUUGUGUUUGUGGGUCUUAAUCCAGUUAUGCAGAUCAUACACGCAGGAAAAGGGAUGGCGUGCGUUUCCCCGUUUCCCGUCUCCGCUCUUCUGGAUGAUCCCGGUCAUAGAUGCGCUUUUGCUCGUUGUAGUGGUUGUGGCUGUCCGCCGAUUUGUGGGCUUCACCAUGCAGCCAGGUUGCUCGUGUGGGUGCCUUGGCGAUGCCCGCAUUAGAGUACCAGGAGAUGCCACCCUCUCUCUAUCCCUUUUUUUCUCACCUGAAGUCGACGCUUCAAUCAGAAAGGGGGUGUGAGCAUAAGGGUGCGCAUGCGUGUGCAUGUGUCUUUUGUUUUGUUGGAGAAGGGAAGCAAGAGGGCGCAUCCGGCGCGCGUCGGGCACCGUCGAACGUGUUGAAACGGCUGUUUUCUCUUUUUGUGCGUUUUUCAGUCCUCGCCCCACCCCGCCCCCUGUGCAGAGGUUCGCCAGCAUCAGCACACGUACCUGGACGAAGAGAGGAGAGAUCGUGGUGCGCUCUCUCCACUUGGUUCCGUGGUGGAGAGCUUUUCAGUUCUUCGUUUUUGGUUUGGCCUUGUGUGUUCGUUUUUGUACAGCGUCUUGUCGCUACCUCUUUCUCAUCUCCUCGUCUCGUACACACACACACACACAACUACACGCGGGUGAUUUCAAGUAGAGUAGAGAGAUAAAGCGCAUCGUUCCUCCUCCCUUCGCCCUUUCUCUCUCUUCCGUGGGGGUGGGGGUGGGCAUUGGGUGCAACGCUGCGGCUCCGCCAUGUGCACGCGUGACAGAAACGUGUGCGUGUGUGCUUGUGUGGAUGAGCUGCAAUUCAUGCCUGCACUUGCUAUGACAUUUUGCAUAGCG
RNAcentral lists this unclassified non-coding RNA (8251 nucleotides) under Leishmania donovani. Its description in RNAcentral is "gene:LdHU3.30.2450(CDS-product:CLASP_N_inal_putat ive)". The record is from RNAcentral. Lineage: Eukaryota; Euglenozoa; Kinetoplastea; Trypanosomatida; Trypanosomatidae.